UACGGAGGGUGCAAGCGUUAAUCGGAAUUACUGGGCGUAAAGCGCACGCAGGUGGCUGAGUCAGUCGAUUGUGAAAGCCCUGGGCUUAACCUGGGAAUUGCAGUCGAUACUACUCAGCUAGAGUAUGGGAGAGGGUAGUGGAAUUCCCGGUGUAGCGGUGAAAUGCGUAGAUAUCGGGAGGAAUAUCAGUGGCGAAGGCGGCUACCUGGCCCAAUACUGACACUCAGGUGCGACAGCGUGGGGAGCAAACAGG
RNAcentral lists this ribosomal RNA (253 nucleotides) under uncultured bacterium. Its description in RNAcentral is "partial 16S ribosomal RNA". It matches the Rfam family "Bacterial small subunit ribosomal RNA", at positions 524 to 776 of the family's 1533-position model. The record is from RNAcentral.